UGGGGAAUAUUGGGCAAUGGGGGGAACCCUGACCCAGCGACGCCGCGUGAGGGAAGACGGCCUUCGGGUUGUAAACCUCUUUUGUACGGGAAGAAGGAAGUGACGGUACUGUACGAAUAAGUCCCGGCUAACUACGUGCCAGCAGCCGCGGUAAUACGUAGGGGACGAGCGUUGUCCGGAAUUACUGGGCGUAAAGGGCGCGCAGGCUGUGCUGCAAGUCAGCUGUGAAAUAUCUGGGCUUAACCUGGAUAUGCGGUUGAGACUGCAGUGCUGGAGUGCUGUAGAGGCAAGUGGAAUUCCCAGUGUAGCGGUGAAAUGCGUAGAUAUUGGGAAGAACACCGGUGGCGAAGGCGACUUGCUGGGCAGCAACUGACGCUGAGGCGCGAAAGCCAGGGGAGCAAA
RNAcentral lists this ribosomal RNA (402 nucleotides) under uncultured bacterium. Its description in RNAcentral is "bacterial SSU rRNA". It matches the Rfam family "Bacterial small subunit ribosomal RNA", at positions 355 to 772 of the family's 1533-position model. The record is from RNAcentral.